RNAcentral lists this long non-coding RNA (770 nucleotides) under Ananas comosus (pineapple). RNAcentral's name for it is "long non-coding RNA (ACOM_LNC025331)". The record is from RNAcentral. Lineage: Eukaryota; Viridiplantae; Streptophyta; Magnoliopsida; Poales; Bromeliaceae.
CGAACUUUUUUUUUUUUUGAGAGAUAAGUAGCACGUUAUCCGCUUCGUUUUAUUUUAUUUAGAAAUAAACUUAGCUGAAAAUGUGAAUCAACUAGGAUUCGAACUUGGGUCUCGAAUACCAACCACCAAACCCUUUGCCACUUGCUCUAGGGACGGUCGGUUUUGGCCAAACUUAGUUCGUGGAUAAUUUCAUUUGGAUUGAACAAUUAAAACUAGUGAGGUAAUCCCCAUGAUACAACGGAUAGAUAAUAGAAAAAAAUAAAAAUUUAUGAGAGAAAUAAAAGUAUGAAAAUAUAUAUAUUUCAUGAUUGUUGAAAAUGGCCAAAUGGGAUAACCGGUAAUGAUAUCGUAUGCUGUCUUUAUCGAGAAUGCAUGAGGAGCAGCGGAUGGAAGCGGAAGGGUUCCGGCGGCGCGCGAGAGGAAAAGUGGGAGAGAAAAAAGAAACUUAAAAUCAUAGGUGGAGAGAUCUAAAACUACUGUAUAGGUGAGGACCGUGAGGUGAGGGGAGAGGGAGACAUGCCGCUACCGGUUUGAGAGAUAAACAAAAAAAGAAAAGAGAUGAAAGAAAAAAGAAAAGAAAAAGGAAGAGAGUUGAAAAAUGUGACUGUGAGAGAGAAAUUUUUUUUUUAUUAAGAUAAAAAUUAAUAGAAAAAAAUUAAAAUAAAUAGUGAGUCCCACCAUCCUCAAAUGAAGGUGGUGCAUCUACGUUGAAUUUUACCAUGAAAAAUUAUAUAUAGUUAUUAUAGAGGUAUAGAUAUAGAUUACUCGGA